UGUGUAGGCGGAUUUGUAAGUACCUUGUGAAAUCCCACGGCUCAACCGUGGAACUGCUUGGUAUACUGCUUAUCUUGGGCCAUCUAGGGGCGAGCGGAACAAACGGUGGAGCGGUGAAAUGCGUAGAUAUCGUUUGGAACGCCAAUGGUGAAAACAGCUCGCUGGGGAUGUGCCGACGCUGAGACACGAAAGCCAGGGGAGCGAACGGGAUUAGAUACCCCGGUAGUCCUGGCUGUAAACGAUGUCGACUAGAUCGUAGUGGCUCUGACGCUAUUACGGUCGAAGCAAAAGUGCUAAGUCGACCGCCUGGGAAGUACGGUCGCAAGGCUAAA
This 332-nucleotide ribosomal RNA is filed under the name uncultured Planctomycetia bacterium. Its description in RNAcentral is "bacterial SSU rRNA". It matches the Rfam family "Bacterial small subunit ribosomal RNA", at positions 568 to 898 of the family's 1533-position model. The record is from RNAcentral. Lineage: Bacteria; Pseudomonadati; Planctomycetota; Planctomycetia.